RNAcentral lists this ribosomal RNA (478 nucleotides) under uncultured bacterium. RNAcentral describes it as "partial 16S ribosomal RNA". It matches the Rfam family "Bacterial small subunit ribosomal RNA", at positions 28 to 523 of the family's 1533-position model. The record is from RNAcentral.
GACGAACGCUGGCGGCGUGCUUAACACAUGCAAGUCGAACGGUAAGGCCCUUCGGGGUACACGAGUGGCGAACGGGUGAGUAACACGUGGGUGAUCUGCCCUGCACUUCGGGAUAAGCCUGGGAAACUGGGUCUAAUACCGGAUAGGACUCCUGGCUUCACGGUGUGUGGUGGAAAGCUUUUGCGGUGUGGGAUGGGCCCGCGGCCUAUCAGCUUGUUGGUGGGGUAAUGGCCUACCAAGGCGACGACGGGUAGCCGGCCUGAGAGGGUGACCGGCCAGACAGGGACGGGGAGACGGCCCAUGUUCCUAAGGGAGGCAGCAGUGAGGAAUAUUGAACAAUGGGCGAAAGCCUGGUGCAGGGCCGCCGAGUGAGGGAUGACGGCCUUCGGGUUGUAAACCUCUUGCAGUAGGGACGAAGCGCAAGUGACGGUACCUACAGAAGAAGGACCGGCCAACUACGUGCCAGCAGCCGCCGUAA